GAGGGUAUAGCUCAGUGGUAGAGGGCAUGCUUGGCAUGCUUAGCAUGCAUGAGGUCCUGAGUUCAAUCCCCAGUACUGCCA
RNAcentral lists this transfer RNA (81 nucleotides) under Camelus bactrianus (Bactrian camel). It matches the Rfam family "tRNA". From Rfam's summary of the family: Transfer RNA (tRNA) molecules are approximately 80 nucleotides in length. RNAcentral also lists the same sequence under 2 other names. Lineage: Eukaryota; Metazoa; Chordata; Mammalia; Artiodactyla; Camelidae. The record is from Rfam by way of RNAcentral.